GGCGCCUUAGCGAAGAGGUUAUCGUACUCCCUUUGGGGCUAUUACUACCAUGGGAGAGGUCAGGGGUUCGAAUCCCCUAGGUGCCC
This is a non-coding RNA of Biscogniauxia marginata, 86 nucleotides long. The record is from the annotation of a GenBank genome assembly. Lineage: Eukaryota; Fungi; Ascomycota; Sordariomycetes; Xylariales; Xylariaceae.